AAUACACGAUUCUUCUCCAUUCUUUUCUACACAUUACACACACUCACAUAUGAAAUAGGGAGCUGAUAGACAUAUACAGUAGGCCAUAUACACAUAAAUGGAGAGAAAAAUAGCAUACAGUCACCAUUCUCAUAUAUAUGGCACCUCACUAGACGGAGAGGGGGGUUUUUCCUUUCUCUUCUACACACAGUAAAGCACACACAUAGAGUAGAGAGGGAUGGACAAACACUGAUAUACUCACCAGUGUACACCCACAACAACAUUACACCCAGAAUAAAUCAAUAUACUCACACGCACAUCUUGAUCGGAGAAUAAAAAAUGGGGUAAAGUCGAGUGAAAGCAGAGGGGAGGUUGACCAAAGAAAGGAUUGAGAGAGAGAACUGGUCAGAGAGAGGAAGAGACAAAGAGCAGAAGGAGAUAUUUGAGCGAGAGAGGAGAGAAAAGGGAUUGAGGCUGACUGUUCCGGCGUUCUUGGCCGGGAAUAGCAUCCUUUCGCCAGAAAAUAUUUAAUUCCGGUCACUGCUAAUUUGAAUUGAUCAUUUUUUAUCCUGAAUUUGGUUAAUUUUCAUCUAGAAACAGUCAUAUAGGCUUCUGGUUUUUUUUUGUUCGGAGCCUUGAUUUCGAUUUUGUUUUCGUUUGUUCUUCGUGGAGCCUUGCUCGAAAGCGGGUCUGAGUAAAUUGGAGUUCUAGAUGGAAGUUGUUGAUUUGGGUUCGUGAUUGAGGUUCGACGUUGAGGUUCCUCUUGGACGCGGUUCUAUUCGGAAAGAUCAAUUAAUUGAAAUAAAACGUCAAAUUGAGGUUCAAUUCUACUCUUUCGCUUUUUGUUUUAUUUGUGAUAUUUGGUGCAUUGAAUGAAAUAUUCUAUGUUGGUUGAUCAUUGUGGGUGAUGAAUAGUUGUUGGUUCCGAUUUGUUGUUCGGUUAUAGAUUGUGUAAUGAAAUGAUAUCUCGUUAAGAAUUGAAAAGGAAAUUGGGAGGUGGAAUUGAAACUUGAUUAAAAGGUAAAUUUUGGUUGGUUUGAUUCAUGAGUUAUUGUUUGACUUGAAAGAAACAUUAAUCAAACUUUUUAGUAUCAUGACGAGUCGAGUGAGGUAGGCAAACACAGGUGGGGUAGGCAAAGUUUAGAAUUUGUGGCUUUGGUUGAAUGUUGGAAAUUUCAUUGAAUGUUUGAAAUUUUGUUGAAUAGUUUGAUUUUCUCGCACUAAAAAUGUAUUCAUUUGGUCGGAGAAUGCCUUAAGGGAUUUGUAUUGGUUUAUCCGGAAAAUGUCCCGAAGUAUCUUGUACUUGGAGGACGUUCAUGAUGAAGGCCCGAGGCGCUGGGUAGUGCAUAGUCUAGGACUAGUUUAGAAUAGGAUUUAGACUUUCGCAUUUUUCCAUUUUGGAUUGUAUAAUUGGACUGGACAUCAUAUUUUUGGGAUUUGAUUUGGUUUGUGUUUUUUUGUUUGAUUGUUGUGUGUUUAUGUGGUUCAUACAUUUUUAGUGUCAAAAUUAGCUAAUAUGCUCCAUCAAGCGACCUUGGUCGAACCACGGGAUCGAGGGGUGCCUAAAACCUUCCCCUUGAUCAACAGAAUUCCUUAGCCAGAAUCUCUGUUCACGGAUCAGUUUUAGAGUCAAAAUCGUUUCAAAAAUGGAUAUCCAAGGGUGACUUGGUGCACCCGAUUUAUGCCAAGUGGUGACUCUGAGUUUUGAAUAUAAAAGGUCCUUUUUGAAACAAAUUUUCAUCUUUUGUCACUUUGAUAAUAAAAACCCUUUCAAACUUAAAAAUGAAUCUUUUUGGAAUUAAAAAAGGGUGUGACAGCUCUAGCGACUCUGCUGGGAAUUUUUCAGAAUUUGAGCUAAUUUUUGGAGUUUUUUCGGCUUUGUUUGACAUUAUGAGUGUAUAGACAUUGUUUGUGUUGUUUUGUGUUAUUGUUUAUCAUUGUUGAGUGUCUACGUGCUCUUUGUUUACAGUUUUUAUCGUAUGUGUUACCGUUUUAUAUCUUCCAUCAUGUGCAUAACUCGAGUCAUUUUUUCUGCAACAAGUUUGUAGUACACGUGUUGUACACGACCUCUAGUUGAGUCACCCUUAUUUUAGAAAGGGGAGACAUCGGUGUUAUGGAGUGGGUUGAAAGCUCUCACAACCACUAUCGACCAUACGCUCCCCCGAACAAUCUUGUUAGUAGGCCCAACGUAGGUCAGCUUUUAGAUCAUGCUUAUCUGCAUCAUAUUGGGACCUAGCGAGACCCACGUGGCCCUUUGUGGGAGACUCACCACUAAAGCAUCCCUACUUGCUAAAUGUUACAUUUCUGAGGGUAACGUGGUCAUUUGACGGACCAAUUUGGGGAAACAUGUGUUAGAAGUAAGGUGUGUUGAUACAAGCAUGAGGAGCACAAGGAUUACAAGUUUCUGUUGAAGGUCCACUUUUCGGAUUUGCAAAGGAAUUGAAGACCUUUUGAAGCCUUUUUCAAAGCCUUGUCCAAGCUCGGGAACUACAAAGACUACAAGGCGCGUUUAUGAAAAUGGACGCGGUUGAGCAUUUCUUAAGUUCAUCCAAGGGAGUGUAUGUAUUAAAGUGUGAAGACAUGCCUUGAGUGCCUUAAAAACACUACAAGUCAGCCCCAUUUAUACACUCCAAACUCACCCCUUCAUUAAGGGUAAAUGUGUCAUUUCCCAUCUCUUUUGUAAUAGACUAUAAGUAGAAAUCCCUUAGUCUUAUUUUUUUAGUUAGCUCAUUCUUGAAAUCACUUGUAAUAUUGAAAAUCACUUUCCUCUCAAGAAGAGAGUAGACCACCACUUUGACAUCACAAGAAAUGGUUUCUAUCACACCCCUUUUUUUUAACUCCAAA
Molecule: long non-coding RNA, 2823 nt
Filed under: Capsicum annuum
Lineage: Eukaryota; Viridiplantae; Streptophyta; Magnoliopsida; Solanales; Solanaceae
Description: long non-coding RNA (CANN_LNC005818)
Source: RNAcentral